GACCACCAGACCUGCUCCAGCUCUGGCUGGUGGGGAUCUACCGUCAAGACCACCAUGGUCUGUGCCGGUGGCGGAGCCAACUCUGGUUGCAACGGAGACUCUGGUGCCCCCUGAACUGCCAGGUCAACGGUCAGUACUAUGUCCACGGUAUUGCCAGCUUCGUUUCCAGUGCCGGAUGCAAUGCUACCCUACAAGCCCACCGUCUUCACCCGUGUGUCUGCUUACAUCAGCUGGAUGAACGGGAUCAUGGGUUGAAAGGGAACAUUGUCAUCGAGCACAACCCAGCUCAAUUUUGUUUACAUUCUGCUCUUAAGUUAAAUAAAUGUAAA
Long non-coding RNA from Salvelinus sp. IW2-2015, 329 nucleotides. RefSeq lists it as uncharacterized. Lineage: Eukaryota; Metazoa; Chordata; Actinopteri; Salmoniformes; Salmonidae. The record is from RefSeq and is a predicted model, not a curated record.